RNAcentral lists this ribosomal RNA (445 nucleotides) under uncultured Actinomycetes bacterium. RNAcentral's name for it is "bacterial SSU rRNA". It matches the Rfam family "Bacterial small subunit ribosomal RNA", at positions 917 to 1359 of the family's 1533-position model. The record is from RNAcentral. Lineage: Bacteria; Bacillati; Actinomycetota; Actinomycetes.
GGGCCCGCACAAGCAGUGGAGCAUGUGGUUUAAUUCGACGCAACGCGAAGAACCUUACCUGGGCUUGACAUGUAGGUGGUAGGAAUUGGAAACAUGACCGACCCCUCGGGGAGCCUACACAGGUGGUGCACGGCUGUCGUCAGCUCGUGUCGUGAGAUGUUGGGUUAAGUCCCGCAACGAGCGCAACCCCUGUCCUGAUGUUGCCAUCAUUUAGUUGGGGACUCAUCGGAGACUGCCGGUGACAAACCGGAGGAAGGUGGGGAUGACGUCAAGUCAUCAUGCCCUUUAUGUCCAGGGCUACACACGUGCUACAAUGGCCGGUACAACGGGCUGCGAUACCGCGAGGUGGAGCGAAUCCCUUAAAGCCCGGUCUCAGUUCGGAUUGGAGUCUGCAACUCGACUCCAUGAAGGCGGAAUUGCUAGUAAUCGCGAAUCAGCAACGUCG